This 224-nucleotide ribosomal RNA is filed under the name uncultured bacterium. RNAcentral describes it as "partial 16S ribosomal RNA". It matches the Rfam family "Bacterial small subunit ribosomal RNA", at positions 524 to 749 of the family's 1533-position model. The record is from RNAcentral.
UACGUAGGGUGCGAGCGUUGCCCGGAUUUAUUGGGCGUAAAGGGCGCGUAGGCGGCCACGCACGUCCGUUGUGAAAUCGCCCGCUCAACUGGCGGGGUCGGCGGAUACGGCGUGGCUGGAGCAAGCUAGGGGGCAAUGGAAUUCCCGGUGUAGUGGUGGAAUGCGUAGAUAUCGGGAGGAACACCAGUGGCGAAGGCGGUUGCCUGGAGCUUUGCUGACGCUGA